Molecule: ribosomal RNA, 460 nt
Filed under: uncultured bacterium
Lineage: Bacteria
Description: partial 16S ribosomal RNA
Rfam family: Bacterial small subunit ribosomal RNA
Source: RNAcentral
CCUACGGGUGGCAGCAGUGAGGAAUAUUGGUCAAUGGACGAGAGUCUGAACCAGCCAAGUAGCGUGAAGGAUGACUGCCCUAUGGGUUGUAAACUUCUUUUAUAUGGGAAUAAAAUGUUCCACGUGUGGGAUUUUGUAUGUACCAUAUGAAUAAGGAUCGGCUAACUCCGUGCCAGCAGCCGCGGUAAUACGGAGGAUCAGAGCGUUAUCCGGAUUUAUUGGGUUUAAAGGGAGCGUAGGUGGAUUGUUAAGUCAGUUGUGAAAGUUUGCGGCUCAACCGUAAAAUUGCAGUUGAAACUGGCAGUCUUGAGUACAGUAGAGGUGGGCGGAAUUCGUGGUGUAGCGGUGAAAUGCUUAGAUAUCACGAAGAACUCCGAUUGUGAAGGCAGUUCACUGGACUGCAACUGACACUGAGGCUCGAAAGUGUGGGUAUCAAACAGGAUUAGAUACCCUAGUAGUC